Molecule: long non-coding RNA, 602 nt
Filed under: Rattus norvegicus (Norway rat)
Lineage: Eukaryota; Metazoa; Chordata; Mammalia; Rodentia; Muridae
Description: long non-coding RNA NONRATT032752
Source: RNAcentral
GAUCCUGUCAGCUACUCUGAUUUCAAGAUGGUGAAUGACCAUGCCAUUCACAGAGGACGGAGUUCCCUUCCGGCACGGACCUUGUCAACCAGGCUCCUGAGACAGCAGAGCAGACAGGUAGAGAGGAUUGGACCUCUGGUGUCCUCUAAGAUUUGGUCUGAUAUUCCAGGAUGUCUGCUAUGCCAGAGCACUCUCUGCACAUCCGUUCCUCUAUCCUGUCCUCUUUCAUGUAGAUGAGAAUGUAAGUAUCCUCUAAUGUCUUUUCAGGUAAGACAAAGCUUUUGACUCUGACUUGCAAUAGCAAACGCUUUUUUCUUCUUUUUUUCUUUUUUCUUUCUUUUUUUUUUUUCUUUUUUUUUGCAGCUGAGUAUGGUGGCUCAUGCCUGUACUCUCAGAAGUUAAGAGGCUGUGGCAAAUGGAUCGUGAGAGUAAAGCCAGCCCAUGGACACCAGGGAAUGUAGACCAGUAUUAGAGGGUUUGUCUCCGAUGCAUGGGUCUUAGGUUUGAAAAAUAAACCAAUUCCAGGGCUGGGGUGUGGCCCCCUGGUGGGCAGAACUCGUGCUUAGUGUGUUAUAACAAGCUUCUCAUUUCUGGAGUUAAAU